CCCUCAGAAAGGCCGUCCUGUAAUAAGAUAACGAGAGGGGUUUCCGUGCGAAACCAACACGACGAGACCCCCGCGGUUGUGGUGAAAGGGCCUUCCACGUAAUGACAGGUUGCCGACUGGCCCCCGACGGGCGAUGGCGGAUCUAGAACGGCAGCUAGCACGCUCCCCGGGCCAGAGUCUCGCGCCUGCGCGACGAUGAUGGCUCCCGGUGGGCCUCCUCUACAGAGGAACAGGCAGAGCCCACCCGAACACUUCUCCGUUGAGAUACCCCCCCAAAAAAAAUCCGUCGCCGCUCCAUCAAUCUCUCCUCGUCCGUUCCUCCAGCCUCAUGCGGGUGCCCCUCAGAGAACGGCCUCAGUAUCCCACUCAUUCCUGGGGUCGGCCGUUGUGACGACGUUGCUGACGGCAGCGUCUCCUGCGAGGAGUGACGGACGGGUCGUGACGACCGCGAGACCGAGACCCGGCGCAGAGGAACCGAUCGUAGCCCGAGGGGUCUGUGAGGGGCUACCCUGUCUCCGCCGGUCACGAUCCCGCUUGGCCCCGGAGCGAGGGGGUGCCGACGCCGCGCCAUCGCACCGUAAACUAGCAGGCGACUGUCAAGAGUAGCCACCUGAACAGUGGCCACCGUCUUCACCGCCCACCUUAGCCCGCUGUUUUGGGGUUGGCCGCCGAGCCGGUCCACCUUGCUUGAUGGCUCUUGGGUGGUCCCGUAGCAGGCGUUCCGCCGCGAGGCAUUCGCGCGCUUCUCGAUGUUCCCGCUGCCCCCACGCACCGUUUGCACGUUCUCUCUUCCGUUCCUUCUCUCCAUCUCUGUCUCUCCCUUUCUCUCAAGCCGCUGGGGGGGGGGAGUGCUGAUAAAGUAGUAGAUGUCUCCGAGGGGAAAAGCAAGUUCUCUUCAACAAUUCCAUCCAAAAAGAAGCGAACUGAGGUUCUCCUUUGGGAACCUUCCAGAUCUCCAAGCUGCUUUGGCAAGAUGCACUGUAGAACUAAGAUAGCAGAAGCAAAACGGGAUCCUAGAUAAAUUCACGGGGAACUGUUCCGUUCCGUGUGCCUCGGGGGGGUUUCCGAACUAAGGCGAACAAGCCAAAAUGUGAUUAAUCAUCAUUACGGAGGAUAUCUGGAGAUCGAGACUAGGGCCUGAUACGGCUGUCGUGCUGAGAAAACCCGUCAGGGGAUUCGAUCUGAAUUUCCUGUCAGGAGUGCGUUCAGCUUCAGUCCGUUCCAUUUGGAGCUGCUCCGAGAUUUAAAACACUUCGCCCCUCCGAAGUUAUUUUCAAGCAGUGGGAAAUGAUCUCAGUCGUUUUUAAAACUUCAAAAGUAUAGCAAAGCGUGAUUUCAAGUGCUCUGAGUGCUUCAGUGGAGUGGCUGUUGGGUAGGGUGGUCAAUAUUUAAUCUAGAAUCAUCUUCCAGUGUGAAUACUAUAUUUUUAUGCAAAAGGUUCGUUUCUGCAUUUGUCUUCUUUUCCAAGAACUCGUUCGGCUGCAAAAUAAUUCGGUGUUUUUUAAGUGAAACCCAAAGUGCUAUCAUUUGAUUUGCGAGAGCAAUGAAUUUUGAACCCGUAGUGCAGUCAGCGGCCUACACUGUUCAACACCAGAUUCCUCUUGAAAACAGUGUUGGUUUACUUCAGCACAGUCUAAGCACUUGUGUCAUAUGGUUUCUGCCAAUACCCCGGUUUACUAUUCGGAAGAUGGAUCGAUUUCUCAUUAUUCAUGUCGUCAGUACUUUCCACGCGCCGAACACCGUGCUCGCCGUUGAAGAGGCCGGGGGGAGAACGGCUAUUAUACAGGCACGAAAGCCGAGACGCAGAGAAGUGCUCUCGGCCAAGGUCGCGCAGCAAAGACGCGGUGACGGAGCCGGGACUGGAACUCAAUUUUCCUGACUCCCCCUCCCUCCUCUCGCUAUUAGGCCACCCAGUUAAUUUUUUGAGCCCUCCGUCGGGAUCAAUAAAUGGCAUUUAUGGAGUGCUGUGUGAGGAACGCUGUACUAAGCAGUUGGGAGGAUAGGCUGUGACAAUAGAGUACAAUAGUCGUUAGUACGGGGUCGGGGGGGGGGGGGGGGGGGUCGAAAAAGUUUGAAAAUGAGAUCUAACGUCGACUCGCCCCUCCCCCCGCGACCCAAGCCUAUUAGUGGUAAUGACAGUGAAUCCUAUUAUUUUAGCAAUAAGGUCAAAGGUGGUUCGUCUUAUUGUUUGUAUGUUUAUACCUGAUUCUUGAAUUAAUUCGCUCCUAAGUUAGACUCAGCCGUCACCCAAGCGAAGAGCUUAAAUUUUUCAUUUGAUGAUAAUGUUAGUAGUAAUGUUGGUAUCUGUUAAGCGCUUACUAUGCGCAGAGCACCGUUCCAAGCGCUGGGGUAGGCACAGGGGAAUCAGGUUGUCCCACUUGGGGCUCCCAGUCUUAAUCCCCAUUUUACAGAUGAGGGAACGGAGGCACCGAGAAGUGAAGCGACUCGCCCACAGUCGCACGGCUGCCGAGUGGCAGAUCCGGGAUUCGAACCCGUGACCUCCGACUCCAAAGCCCGGGCUCUUUCCACUGAGCCACGCUGCAAUCGGUAGUUCAUAUGGAGGACCUAACAGUUGCAGAACGCUAUACUAAGCACCCGUGAAUGUUCGAAAGGAGACAUGAUUCGGCGAGCCCCAUAUGAUCUGCUGAUUUUCUUGAAUCCACUCCAGUGCCUGGCGCACAGUAAGCCCUUAACAAAUACCAUUAUCAUUAUUAUUAUUAUUAUUGAGCUUAAAAUUUAGAUAGAUAGGUGGCAAAAGUACUCAAGUAAGAUUUUGUGCAUUAAAAUUCACUAAAGACGAGAGUGGCAAAGUGUUCAAAGUACCAAAACGUUGCGAUGAUGUAAUCGGAGAAGAAGGAAAAUUAAUUGGGGAAAGCUUCUCCA
This 2883-nucleotide long non-coding RNA is filed under the name Ornithorhynchus anatinus (platypus). Its description in RNAcentral is "lncRNA (ENSOANG00000047925.1)". Lineage: Eukaryota; Metazoa; Chordata; Mammalia; Monotremata; Ornithorhynchidae. The record is from RNAcentral.